Molecule: ribosomal RNA, 253 nt
Filed under: uncultured bacterium
Lineage: Bacteria
Description: partial 16S ribosomal RNA
Rfam family: Bacterial small subunit ribosomal RNA
Source: RNAcentral
GACAGAGGAUGCAAGCGUUAUCCGGAAUUAUUGGGCGUAAAGCGUCUGUAGGCGGCUUUUCAAGUCCGCCGUCAAAUCCCAGGGCUCAACCCUGGACAGGCGGUGGAAACUACCAAGCUGGAGUACGGUAGGGGCAGAGGGAAUUUCCGGUGGAGCGGUGAAAUGCAUUGAGAUCGGCAAGAACACCAACGGCGAAAGCACUCUGCUGGGCCGACACUGACACUGAGACACGAAAGCCAGGGGAGCAAACGGG